RNAcentral lists this ribosomal RNA (433 nucleotides) under uncultured bacterium. RNAcentral's name for it is "partial 16S ribosomal RNA". It matches the Rfam family "Bacterial small subunit ribosomal RNA", at positions 29 to 507 of the family's 1533-position model. The record is from RNAcentral.
AGCGAACGCUGGCGGCAGGCCUAACACAUGCAAGUCGAACGAACUCUUCGGAGUUAGUGGCGGACGGGUGAGUAACACGUGGGAACGUGCCUUUUGGUUCGGAAUAACUCAGGGAAACUUGUGCUAAUACCGAAUGUGCCCUUCGGGGGAAAGAUUUAUCGCCAUUAGAGCGGCCCGCGUCUGAUUAGCUAGUUGGUGAGGUAACGGCUCACCAAGGCGACGAUCAGUAGCUGGUCUGAGAGGAUGACCAGCCACACUGGGACUGAGACACGGCCCAGACUCCUAGGGGAGGCAGCAGUGGGGAAUCUUGCGCAAUGGGCGAAAGCCUGACGCAGCCAUGCCGCGUGAAUGAUGAAGGUCUUAGGAUUGUAAAAUUCUUUCACCGGGGACGAUAAUGACGGUACCCGGAGAAGAAGCCCCGGCUAACUUCGUG